CAAGUAAAAAAAAGAACUUCCUGUUACUAUUGUGACUCACAUACCUUGAAUAUCUUCAACAGAGUUCCAUUCAUCAUCAGCCAACUGAAGAAUGCAAAAUAAAAGUCAUGUGACCUCCAAAAACCCACAGGGAUUACCCAUGGGGUUCACACAGACAUCCGUAUGGUAUCACAUGGUGAAUGUUCUACUGACCUGUGGGCUGAUAUUCAGAGUCAAGAGUUUGAUGCACAUUUUGAAAGAAAGAAAGAAAGAAAAAGACGCAGAAGGAAAAAAAAGACCUCGUGUCGAGGGGGGGCGUGACUACCGUGGUCAUAAGAGCGGUCAUCGGCUCUGCUCUGCGGGUCAAACAACAGCUCAGCACGGGAGGAAAGAGGCCGAGGGGUCCCGCUACUCACCUCCACACCAAACAGAUUGCUGAUACUCUCCUCGUGCUCCAAUGUGACAGCGAGCCAACGUCUCCCUGUGUUUGCUGACUAUUAUCACUUGAUGCCAGUUGUCAUCACCCAGUCCUGUGAUCUGAGUCCAUGUGACCUGCUGCACGGGGAGACUUCAUGCACAUCUAACCACAGUGCAGAGGAUUAGUUUCUCUCAAAGGAAACCUGUGAGCAUUUUAUCAUUUACAGAACAAUAUAUGGCAUUAUAAACUAUGUCGUGUUUAUUAUAAAUCCAAACAAUUCUCAUCAAUUGGUGUCCUUGUGCUUAGAGACGUUUCUGGCUAUAUGUGGACGACGCAAGCAUGUUUUUGAUUUGUUCUCCACAUUUUAAAGCUUAUUUAUUUUUGAUCAGAUAAAAACAGUAUAGGCCUCAUAGAUCAUUUGUUUGAAAAAAAAAAAAAGGAUAUAAAAGGUUGGAGUUGCAGCUCGAAAGUUUGUUUUUUUUUAUUUCCACUGUAAACACUCUCUUGUUGACGUUGUUGAAAAAGUUUUGUAAUUUGAAAAGUAGGAACAAUUCAUUUAAAGUGGCAAAUAAUGGACAUGACAAAUUGUGAAUGUGGUUAAAUUGGCAAAAAUUUGCAUGAAAUAUGAUUUAAAGUGGCAAUAAUGGGUCAACAUAUGCAACAUUAGGUGGAAUAAAUGGUGGAAAGGGUUUCUAAGUGUCGAAAAU
Molecule: long non-coding RNA, 1104 nt
Filed under: Gouania willdenowi (blunt-snouted clingfish)
Lineage: Eukaryota; Metazoa; Chordata; Actinopteri; Blenniiformes; Gobiesocidae
Description: lncRNA (ENSGWIG00000013900.1)
Source: RNAcentral